RNAcentral lists this non-coding RNA (114 nucleotides) under Clostridium fallax. RNAcentral describes it as "Glycine sequence". It matches the Rfam family "Glycine riboswitch aptamer". From Rfam's summary of the family: This family represents the bacterial glycine riboswitch. Glycine riboswitches usually consist of two metabolite-binding aptamers domains with similar structures in tandem. Lineage: Bacteria; Bacillati; Bacillota; Clostridia; Eubacteriales; Clostridiaceae. The record is from Rfam by way of RNAcentral.
AUGAUUUAAUAGGGAGACUAUUAUAAAAGUGUUUUUUUAUGAUGGCCGAAGGUAUAAACAAUGAAGAAUGCCUUUCAUUGCGAAUUUCUCAGGCGAAAGAACCUAUUAAUGACA